CUAAAGAUGAAUUUGGCGUUCACAAAACAGUUUGAUAUCACACUGCUUUCUCUCCUCAGUGCCCCUCCCCCCAUUUGUAAAAGUACAUUUAAUAAAUCUCAUAUCUAUUGGCUAAACUUUACACUACAUGCCUUAGGAUAUACCGAUCCUUUAUGUUACACACAAAUAAAACAAUAAAUACUAAGGGGAAAAUGAAAAUUAUGACGCACAAACAGCAGCACUAAUGAAAAUGAAGUACGUAGCAGUUUGAAUACCAUUAGUUUUGUGGACAAUAGUGGCUUUAUCAUGUUCUAAAAAGGACAAAUGGCUUUUGUAUGCUACAGAAU
Non-coding RNA from Pelobates cultripes (western spadefoot toad), 326 nucleotides. Lineage: Eukaryota; Metazoa; Chordata; Amphibia; Anura; Pelobatidae. The record is from the annotation of a GenBank genome assembly.